ACAAGGAUUCCCCUAGUAACGGCGAGUGAAGAGGGAAGAGCCCAAGUUUGAAAGCUGGCGUCUUCGGCGUCCGCAUUGUAAACUCGAGAAGCGUUUUCCGCGCCGGACCAAGCUCAAGUCCCUUGGAAUAGGGCAUCAUAGAGGGUGAGAGUCCCGUACUUGGCUUGGAGUCCCCGGGGCUUUGUGAUACGCUCUCCAAGAGUCGAGUUGUUUGGGAAUGCAGCUCAAAAUGGGUGGUAAAUGCCAUCUAAGGCUAAAUAUCGAGGAGAGACCGAUAGCGAACAAGUACCGUGAGGGAAAGAUGAAAAGAACUUUGGAAAGAGAGUUAAACAGUACGUGAAAUUGCCGGAAGGGAAGGGUAGGGAGUCAGAUAUGCUGUGCGGAUUCAGCCUUGUCUUUGGACUUGGUGUAUUUUCGUAUUGGCAGGCCAGCAUCGGUUUGUGCCGCUGGAUAUAGGCUUGGGGAAUGUGGCUUUGUCUUCGGUCAAAGUGUUAUAGCCCCUUGCUGAGUACAGCGGCAUGGACCGAGGCACGCAGCGCACCCUCUGGGCGGGCCCUCGGGCACCUUUGCGCUUAGGAUGCUGGCUUAAUGGCUCUCUGCCACC
RNAcentral lists this ribosomal RNA (604 nucleotides) under Fereydounia khargensis. RNAcentral describes it as "eukaryotic LSU rRNA". It matches the Rfam family "Eukaryotic large subunit ribosomal RNA", at positions 68 to 649 of the family's 3401-position model. The record is from RNAcentral. Lineage: Eukaryota; Fungi; Basidiomycota; Ustilaginomycetes; Urocystidales; Fereydouniaceae.